Molecule: transfer RNA, 96 nt
Filed under: Actinomadura sp. KC06
Lineage: Bacteria; Bacillati; Actinomycetota; Actinomycetes; Streptosporangiales; Thermomonosporaceae
Description: tRNA-Sec
Rfam family: Selenocysteine transfer RNA
Source: RNAcentral
GGAGGCGUGCGAGCGCCUGGUGGCCUCCCCGGCCUUCAAAGCCGACGGUCCCGAGGACCUCGGGACGGCGGGUUCGAUUCCCGUACGCCUCCGCCA